AUGUUCGAGUAUCUAAAUGUUGUCAGCAAGAUGUUUGAUAGUGAGGCCGAAGGCUAUGAAUUCUACAACAAAUAUGCUCUUGAAAAAGGUUUUAGUGUGAGGAGAAGCUACGUUGAGUGGGAUGGAUCCAACAAAUACAUAAUUUUAAGGAAAAUUGUGUGUAGUCGUCAAGGGUUUCGCGAAGAGAAGCACAUAAAAAGAAAGAUGGAAGAUAGAAAGAGGAGGCCACGAAGUUUAACUCGUGUUGGGUGUAAUGCUAAAUUGGUCAUUACGAGACAGGAGGAAACUGGUCGGUGGUUUGUCAAGGAUUUCAUCGAUGAGCACAGCCAUCCUCUAGUCCCACAGGAUCUUUCUUGUCUGCUGCGUUCGCACAGACGAAUUAGCGAUGAGCAGAAAGCGGACAUUGCGGACAUGGAAAAAUGUGGGAUCCGCAAAUACCGUAUUAUGGAUAUUUUUUGCUUUCAAUACGGUGGAUUUGAUAAGGUUGGAUGCAUAAAGAGGGACAUUUAUAAUUUCUGCCAUGCUAAUAAGCAGGAGACAAUCAGUGCCGGUGAUGCUAAUACGGUGAUCAUGCACAUGAUGGCGAGGCGAGAGCGAGAUGUGGAUUUUUUCUUCAAGUACUUGGUAGACGAGCAUGGCCAUCUGAAGGGACUGUUCUGGGCUGAUAGUCAAUCGCGACUUGACUACGAGGCUUUCGGAGACGUCAUUGUUUUCGAUAGCACAUACAGAACCAACAAAUACAAUCUGCCAUUCGUGCCGUUUGUCGGGUUGAAUCACCACCGCAGCACUGUUAUUUUUGGCUGUGGUAUAAUUUCUCAUGAAACAAGCCAGGCAUACGAGUGGAUGUUGCGGACCUUUUCUGAUUGCAUGGCACAGAAGCAUCCGAUAUCUGUGAUCACAGAUGGGGACCUUGCAAUGCAGAGAGCAAUCAGGGUGGUAUGGCCAGACUCAAACCAUAGACUAUGUAUAUGGCACAUUCAGCAGAACAUUGUACGCCAUCUGCAUGAUGACGACGUAAAGGAGGAAUUCAGAUCUUUCAUUUAUGAUACUUCUUCCAUUGAAGAGCAUGAGAUAGAAUGGAUACACUUCUUACAACGGAAUAAAGUAACCAGUGAGGAGUCUUGGCUGCAUCAGAUGUAUCAGAUGAGAAAGUUGUGGUGUGCUCCAUAUCUUGAGGGGCGUUGUUUCCUAGGAUUAAGCAGCAAUCAGAGGAGUGAGAGCUUGAACUCUGUGCUACAUACGCAUCUUGAAGGUAAGAUGUCGUUGUUUGAAAUGCUAGAGCACUAUGAGCGUUGCCUUGCGUUGCGACGGAUUAACGAAGCUCUCCAAGACGUCGAAGCCUUGCAGUCCGUUCCAUUUACAGAGGAAAAUGCUUCGCCGCUUGAGAAACACGCCGCAACAGUUUUC
This 1407-nucleotide ribosomal RNA is filed under the name Triticum aestivum (bread wheat). Its description in RNAcentral is "partial small subunit ribosomal RNA". Lineage: Eukaryota; Viridiplantae; Streptophyta; Magnoliopsida; Poales; Poaceae. The record is from RNAcentral.